CUUAAACUGAAGAUGAGACCCAGAUCAGCGCGGACAUCUCUGAGAAAGGACAGGGAAUGCCAGGUGGAGUGGAGACAUCAGGAAGCACAAGAGAGGCUUUUCCCAGGGACAGAGCAGAGUUGCAUGGAGCACUGAGUCAAGGGCAGAGACGGAAGACAGUGUGUCCUGCUGAACCCAUUGGAAAAAUUGAGAGAGAAUUUAAAAUGUAAUGGCUCCAGUUGGGGCAGAGGAAGGAUGACCAAUGACCUUACCCUGAAAGACGGUGCCUGACAGUCUAUGCUCAGACUCACUGCUGAUUAAGACUCUGCUUUUGACACCAGUCCCUAGCCCACAGGACACCGGCUCCAGAUUGACUCAGAGGUUGUCUCUGCUCCAGCAAGGACCUUGGAGGUCCCAAGUGGCCCAGACUGCAACCCUGUCUGUGAAGAACCAAGACUGGAUGGGCCACCACAGCCUAAGGGAAGUGAGCUGCAGCCCACUGAGGAGAGGAGGAGUGUGACAAGACCAGGGUCUGCUGAGUGGUCACCAUUAUGCUGUGACCCCUGGCUCAGUCCACAGCAUGUGUCUUCUCUGAUCUUCCCACAGCUCUUCCUCCCUCCCACCCAUUGUCUAGCUCUGUGUCUCCCUUCUUCCUGCUCCUCGGUAGACAGUGCAAGUGGUGGGAAAUCUUACGCUGGGAAAGAUGCCACAGUCUAGAGUUGCCCACAGCUGGGCUGGACUGAGGGCUCUUCACCCUAGGAUUCAUUGGUGGAGACCUAAGCUCCAAUCUGGUGGUCCUAGAAGGUGAUGGCUAUGGGAGAUGAGGAAGGCAGAGCACCAUGCUGGGCUGAAUAUGCUUAUAAUAAAGGAUGCCUGAGACCCUCUCUCUCCCACCUUAGGACAGCGAGAUGACAGCCACCUAUGAGCCAGAAAGUGGGCUCACCAGAAUGCAGCUGUGCUGGGACCCUGAUCUGGGACUUCGAGCCUCCGGAACCCUGAGAAACAAAUUCUCUUUGCUUACAGUCAACCUGUCUUUGGUGUUCCAUGUAGUUGCUCAGAUGGACUAAGACAAUAACUCACUAAUUGUGUUAUUCCAACAAACCGAUAACCUCAGCACUCCACCCCUGUAAGACAGCAGUGAGAACGCUGUGUGUUAUUAGAAUGGAAUGAAACAACGAAUCUGCGGUGCGAUUACCUGACCGAUGCUCAUGCAGUGUUUGUCUCUUCUUUCUCUUGCUCUCGUCUCAACUUUUCCUCCUCCCACUUCCCUAUGGAAGUAGAGUGUGGAGAACAAAGCAAGCAGAGGUGGUGAAGGAACCCAGCACUUCUGACCCAGAAUGAGGCUGAAAGGUCCUCUGCUCUGUCCUCCUCAUUUCGAGAGUGAGUAGGGGAUGUGGGAACAAAGACUUCUCCCUGGCCCUCUCUUACACCUCACAUCACAGGAAAACCAGGACGAUGGGAAGAGAGGACGACUAUGGCCACCAUAUCUAUAUUCUUUCCAGCUUAUAUUUAUUCAGAAUAGGGGCUUCUGUAAUCUUUUCAAAACCUGACUUAUAUUGAUGGAAAUGCUUCAAAACUAAGAUCACUACAUUUCUAACUGGUGUUAACAUUUUUGCCCAAUUUUGUCACUCCCCCUACAAAAGUAUCAGAAGUGUUGAUUGCUCCAUGUUCUCUGUUAGGAGAACCUCCAGGAUCUGUCCACCCUGGCUUCCCCAUACUCAGCUCCCAACCUCAGCCCUGGACUAGCCCAGGCUGGCUUGGGCACCCACAGCUGCUAUCUGGAGCUUG
Molecule: long non-coding RNA, 1767 nt
Organism: Chinchilla lanigera (long-tailed chinchilla)
Lineage: Eukaryota; Metazoa; Chordata; Mammalia; Rodentia; Chinchillidae
Source: Ensembl